CCUAUUGAGUGUUAUAUCAAAUGAUAGUAGAAGUGAGGUUUACUUUACUUUGAGGUCAGACACGAUGAUGUAGGAA
Molecule: non-coding RNA, 76 nt
Filed under: unclassified sequences
Description: RAGATH-18 RNA
Rfam family: RAGATH-18 RNA
About the family: Actinobacteria, Firmicutes, Fusobacteria, Thermotogae (1 example). Nearby to self-cleaving ribozyme genes
Source: Rfam by way of RNAcentral